Molecule: ribosomal RNA, 253 nt
Filed under: uncultured bacterium
Lineage: Bacteria
Description: partial 16S ribosomal RNA
Rfam family: Bacterial small subunit ribosomal RNA
Source: RNAcentral
UACGGGGGGGGCUAGCGUUGUUCGGAAUUACUGGGCGUAAAGCGCACGUAGGCGGCUUUGUAAGUUAGAGGUGAAAGCCCGGAGCUCAACUCCGGAACUGCCUUUAAGACUGCAUCGCUUGAAUCCAGGAGAGGUGAGUGGAAUUCCGAGUGUAGAGGUGAAAUUCGUAGAUAUUCGGAAGAACACCAGUGGCGAAGGCGGCUCACUGGACUGGUAUUGACGCUGAGGUGCGAAAGCGUGGGGAGCAAACAGG